AGCGAACGCUGGCGGCAUGCCUAACACAUGCAAGUCGCACGGGGGGGCUUCGGCCUCCCAGUGGCGGACGGGUGAGGAACGCGUAGGGACCUGUCGAGGGGUGGGGGAUAAUCGCGGGAAACUGCGGCUAAUACCGCAUGACGCCGCGGCGUGACAGCCGGGGCCAAAGGCGAAAGCCGCCCGCCGAGGGGCCUGCGUCCGAUUAGCUGGUUGGCGGGGUAGCGGCCCACCAAGGCGUCGAUCGGUAGCUGGUCUGAGAGGGUGAUCAGCCACACCGGGACUGAGACACGGCCCGGACUCCUACGGGAGGCAGCAGUGGGGAAUAUUGGACAAUGGGCGCAAGCCUGAUCCAGCAAUGCCGCGUGGGUGAAGAAGGUCUUCGGAUUGUAAAGCCCUUUCGGCGGGGACGAUGGUGACGGUACCCGCAGAAGAAGCCCCGGCUAACUUCGUG
RNAcentral lists this ribosomal RNA (451 nucleotides) under uncultured bacterium. RNAcentral describes it as "partial 16S ribosomal RNA". It matches the Rfam family "Bacterial small subunit ribosomal RNA", at positions 28 to 507 of the family's 1533-position model. The record is from RNAcentral.